AUGAGAGAGCAGGUCCGUCACCUGCAAGCCUCUCUGAGAUCUGCACAAGAGUGUGUCGCAGAGCAGAAAAACAUUAGCAGAGUUCUUCAUAUCGACAAGGGAACCAACACUGAGAGAGGAGAGCCAGGUAGAGCUGUGGAGAAGGUGGUGAAGGAUCAGAGGGAUGCAGCAGUGGCCACGGAGGUCACAGGUGGAGCAGCCUCAGAGCAGGAGCAAACCCACUUCCAGGUGACCGCGGACGGCCUUCUGACGACCCUCAGAAGGAUGGAGGCGAUGGUCAAUAACGCCCUGGAGACCGCCGAGCUGGUGCGAGAGAGCGAGCGGAGGGUGAACCAGGUGAGGGCAAGGAUGGAGAGCAUCACCCUGAGGGUGGAGAAGGCUCUGGACCGAGCCGGCGACACUGACAAGCAGCUGAAUGUUCUGGAGGCCGAAGUCACAGAAGAAGGUCCCACUCAGUCUCCAGGUCCCAGUCUGCCAGCUGAUCCAGGAACAGACGCCACAGGCUGUACAGACGAGUCCAAUGUGGAGCCUGAAGACAGAGACAGGACGGACAGUCCUCCUCCACCUCCUGUAAUCCCAGAAGUCAGCGAGCCUCCACAGCUACCCAUGAAUGGUAUGAUGGCCUGCAUGGCAGUAAUACAACAUCAGUGUUAUCGUGGUUAAGGGUUCUCCGUGAGACACUGAUGAAUUAAAGCUACUUCCUUCUCUGAUGGUAAUCCCUGAGGAUGUCUGAAAAUAGGCCCAGCCGAUAUUUACAUUGCACACAACAGCUGGUACAGUGAGGAGGAAGAGAGAGUAAGCUCUGAGGGAGGGUAUGUUAUCUAUCAAAGGGGGCCAUGGGGAAAACUAACGGAGGUCCAAUUUUUUUUCAUGUACACAAGUAUUUUUAGCUACAGCCUAUUUUAAUUGACAACAGUUUUAUACUUUGUCUGACUUUUUUGAAUUGAGAGGGCUAAAACAAUGUCUCUGUGAGUUUCCUGUUCUCAGUGCUUGUGGGUCAGCCCACUUUACAUUUACGUCUUAAUGGUUCUCAAGUCCUUUGAGCAAGUUUAUGUAAAGACAGCGACAAAUCUGAUGCUGAGAUAGCUUGCUCACAAAGUUACACAAUGCAGGCUUUUAGGUGCAAUACAGAAAAAAAAUUGAGAACAUUUUUGAAAAAGAAAAAGAAAUGGAAAAGCUUGUAGUUUUG
This 1189-nucleotide long non-coding RNA is filed under the name Sparus aurata (gilthead seabream). RNAcentral's name for it is "lncRNA (ENSSAUG00010020979.1)". Lineage: Eukaryota; Metazoa; Chordata; Actinopteri; Spariformes; Sparidae. The record is from RNAcentral.